CGUACACUCCUGCGGGAGGCAGCAGUGGGGAAUAUUGGACAAUGGGCGCAAGCCUGAUCCAGCCAUGCCGCGUGAGUGAUGAAGGCCCUAGGGUUGUAAAGCUCUUUCACCGGUGAAGAUAAUGACGGUAACCGGAGAAGAAGCCCCGGCUAACUUCGUGCCAGCAGCCGCGGUAAUACGAAGGGGGCUAGCGUUGUUCGGAUUUACUGGGCGUAAAGCGCACGUAGGCGGACUAUUAAGUCAGGGGUGAAAUCCCGGGGCUCAACCCCGGAACUGCCUUUGAUACUGGUAGUCUUGAGUUCGAGAGAGGUGAGUGGAAUUCCGAGUGUAGAGGUGAAAUUCGUAGAUAUUCGGAGGAACACCAGUGGCGAAGGCGGCUCACUGGCUCGAUACUGACGCUGAGGUGCGAAAGCGUGGGGAGCAAACAGGAUUAGAAACCCUUGUAGUCCCAUGAU
RNAcentral lists this ribosomal RNA (455 nucleotides) under uncultured organism. RNAcentral's name for it is "partial 16S ribosomal RNA". It matches the Rfam family "Bacterial small subunit ribosomal RNA", at positions 330 to 801 of the family's 1533-position model. The record is from RNAcentral.